UGAUGCGAUGUAGUAGUUUUUGGUUGUAUAUGUUGUGUGGUGUGAUGAUGUAGUAUUGUAUUUUCUUGUAGUAAUUUUUGAUUUAUGGUAUGAAUAUAUAUUCUUGGUAUGAAAGAAUGAUGUUGAAUGAUUAAAUGAUGUUGAAUAGUUAAAUAUUGGAUAAUUUUAAUAAUUAAUUUUUUUGUGCAACUAAUAUUGUAUAAAUUGUAACAUUAAUGAUUACAAAAUUAUUUUAGCAUGUACAAAUAUAAUUUGCAUUAUAAUUUUUAUGGCCCUUUUAGCAUAAUUUUUUUUCUCCUAAUCUUCUGAGACACAUGAGACUACGUGUAUCCAUGUCCACAAAGCAUAACAUCCGAUCACUUG
RNAcentral lists this long non-coding RNA (363 nucleotides) under Elaeis guineensis (African oil palm). RNAcentral's name for it is "long non-coding RNA (EGUI_LNC040978)". The record is from RNAcentral. Lineage: Eukaryota; Viridiplantae; Streptophyta; Magnoliopsida; Arecales; Arecaceae.